UCAAAAAGUUCAUUCUAAGAAACCAAGAAGAUUCGUCUGAUGACCUCAUAUCCUUUCCAUACCAUACAGAAGUUCCUAGGGUCCUAUUGUUUGGUCUAAUUGGCUUCACCUGUUCGAUCAUGGCACCCUUAAUAUUGCCCUUUCUGCUAAUUCACUUUUUCAUGGCUUACCUUGUAUACCGUAACCAGAUUCUCAAUGUAUACAUACCAAAAUACGAAGGUGGAGGGCACUUUUGGCCUAUUUUUCACAACACAACAAUUUUUUCAUUGGUGUUGACGCAAAUCAUAGCGAUUGGAGUCUUUGGAAUUAAAGAAUCACCAAUUGCAUCAAGUUUCACCUUUCCACUAGUUAUUUGCACUCUUCUAUUCAAUGAAUAUUGUAGGCAGCGAUUUUCCCCUGUUUUCCAGAAGGACGUUGUAGAGGUUCUUAUGGACAUGGAUAGACGUGAUGAACAGUCUGGGAGAAUGAGUGAGAUCUAUCAACAAUUACAUUCGGCAUAUUGUCAGAUCCCGAUAACUUCUCAUGAAUUCUGUGAAUCUGCACAGGAGCGACAUCGUAAUAAGAUCCAGGAUCCACAGGGCAUCAACCCAGGAACGGAACUCAGCGAAGCAAGUGAGACGUGGGCUGUUGUCAAUUUUGGAAAAGAAUCACCUACUACGAAAAAUUAAUUAAUUCAUUUUGUAUAUAAGCUACACCAAAUUCAGUUCAUGCAGUAAAACGAUCAUCUUUUAAAUGGG
RNAcentral lists this unclassified non-coding RNA (737 nucleotides) under Hevea brasiliensis (rubber tree). The record is from RNAcentral. Lineage: Eukaryota; Viridiplantae; Streptophyta; Magnoliopsida; Malpighiales; Euphorbiaceae.